Molecule: long non-coding RNA, 1524 nt
Filed under: Marmota monax (woodchuck)
Lineage: Eukaryota; Metazoa; Chordata; Mammalia; Rodentia; Sciuridae
Source: RNAcentral
GCGAUAAGUUGUGCAUCGUCACCGUGUCAUAGCGUGGGGGAUGGAACCGGGGCCUGCCCCAGGCUGAGAAGCCCCCCCGACACCCCCCCAGCUCGGCCAAGCAUACGCUUAAAAGGCAGGAAGAAGCGCUCGCGGUCAGCACCCUGGACUCCAGAUGGCCUGCACACAGGCAGCAUUCAGCCUAGUCCCCUUUGUUUCCCGAGCAGGGCAGGAUGGCGGCAGCAUCCUGGCCCCACCCGCUGGGUGUCAAGUAGUCCCUUGCCCCGCGCUCCCCAGCUGGGACAAUCAGAAGUGUCUCCAGAUGUUGGCCGAUGUCCCCUUGGGAGCAGAAUACCCCGAGCUGGGAACCAGAGGUCCCUGGUGAAGGCCCUGACCACACCAGUUCCUCGGGAGCGUUUCCAGAGCCCCAUGUGCGGGCGGUGCGUCAGUCCUUACAGUGGUCUAUCUCGUCUCCCUUCCCGCUGCGACUGCACAUGGUGCAGAAGUCGUGCUGCUGAGGACGGCCUCAGAGGCCGAGGUCUGCAGCCAGCACGGGGGUGGGUGGUGGUGACGAGCUCUGGUUGGGGGGUUCUCGUGACCCUUGGCUCUGCCUGUCCUUAGGCGGAACCUGUGGUUUCCAGGGUGUCACCAGAGUGCACGCCGGCCUCUGCUUUGUCACUUCCUGCCCUGGGCUCCAGGGAAAGACUCUGGACAGCAUAAGUGGCCGUCCUUGACCCUGAACUUGCCUCUCGGUUUCGGGGCAGGUGGGGCAGGGUGGAGGCCCCGGCUUUGAGGGACGGAGGUUUUGGAGUUUCUGGGGCGGGGGAGCGGCCGGGCCUGGGGUCAGCUGGGGGCCGUGGCCCUGCCCGAGGCCCUGCCCGAGGCACGGGGCUCUGACUACAUUAGGAUAAAGUAUGCGGCCUGUGCUGCUGGGCGGGCCGCGGGGGCUCUCCACAGCGGAUUCCUGCGCUUCAAGGGUGACGCCGUGUUUACCCGGCAGUGGGUGAUGGAAGCCAGGCCCAGGAGGCCGGGGCCACUGGGGAUGCCGUCUGGUGGCCUAUGGGACCUGGCAUCUCUCACAUCCCCCUCGCGCACUGUCCUAAAACAGCCGCGGUGGGCGCUCAGCAUUUUCCAUCUCAGAUGGUUGGUGGGCGCCUCGCCUGUGUCUCCUCCAGUGGACAGGUGUCCACGUGUGCACAGGUGUCCACGGGCGAGUCUCUGUCAUCCUUACGCUGUGUCUCCAGAGCGGGGGACUUGGCACAUGGUGCACCUCGUGAAUCUGCAGAGGAGGGGAGGAAGGCUUGAAUGAACCCAGGAGCCGUCUUGCCUGGACGGAAGCCUAACCCCGUCACCCAGAGCAAGAAGGGGGCAGGUUUUGAGGGACACGAAACCAAAAGGUCGAGGCAGGUACCUGAGAGCAUGGCUGGGGGUUGCAGGCACGGCUGGAUCUAGAGGCUUCCAAGGGGAUGUUGGGGUCACUCGCUGUCUCUCAACUCUGCUUUCUCCAUCGUGGUUUCUUUGCCCCUCAGCCACCCCUACAGCAGA